Molecule: ribosomal RNA, 392 nt
Filed under: Caddo agilis
Lineage: Eukaryota; Metazoa; Arthropoda; Arachnida; Opiliones; Caddidae
Description: partial 12S ribosomal RNA
Source: RNAcentral
AAACUAGGAUUAGAUACCCUAUUAUUUUUACUUUGUGUUUUGGAGUAGUAGUAGAAGUUUCGAAAUUUAUAUGAUUUGGCGGUACCUUAUUCAGUUUAGAGGAGCUUGUCCUGUGAUCGAUAGUCCUCGUGAGACCUCACUUUUUAUAUUAGUUUGUAUAUCGUUGUUUUUAGAUAACCUUUAAGAGAAAAAAGUUUUUAUAAUAGGAGAUACUAGUACUUCAGAUCAAGAUGCAGUUUAUUAAAAAGAAUGAGAUGAGCUACAUUAAAAGUAUAGAUUUUUGGAUACUAAUUUGAAAUUUUUAGUUGAAAUUGAAUUUAAUAGUAAAUAGGAGAAGAGAGUUCUAUUUUGAGUUUUGCUCUAAGGUGUGUACACAUCGCCCGUCGCUCUUA